ACGAACGCUGGCGGCAUGCCUAACACAUGCAAGUCGAACGAGACCUUCGGGUCUAGUGGCGCACGGGUGCGUAACGCGUGGGAAUCUGCCCUUGGGUUCGGAAUAACUCAGAGAAAUUUGAGCUAAUACCGGAUGAUGACGUAAGUCCAAAGAUUUAUCGCCCAGGGAUGAGCCCGCGUAAGAUUAGCUUGUUGGUGAGGUAAAGGCUCACCAAGGCGACGAUCUUUAGCUGGUCUGAGAGGAUGAUCAGCCACACUGGGACUGAGACACGGCCCAGACUCCUACGGGAGGCAGCAGUGGGGAAUAUUGGACAAUGGGCGAAAGCCUGAUCCAGCAAUGCCGCGUGAGUGAUGAAGGCCUUAGGGUUGUAAAGCUCUUUUACCAGGGAUGAUAAUGACGGUACCCGCAGAAGAAGCCCCGGCUAACUUCGU
This 431-nucleotide ribosomal RNA is filed under the name uncultured bacterium. Its description in RNAcentral is "bacterial SSU rRNA". It matches the Rfam family "Bacterial small subunit ribosomal RNA", at positions 29 to 506 of the family's 1533-position model. The record is from RNAcentral.